GCUGGGUGUGGUGGUGCACACCUGUAGUCCUAGCUACUCAGGGAGCUGAGGCAGGAAGAUUACUUGAGCCCAGGAGUUCAACACUGCAGUGAGCCAUGAUCACAUUGCUGCACGUUAGCCUAGGCAACAGAGUGAGACCCUGUCUCUU
This 148-nucleotide non-coding RNA is filed under the name Gorilla gorilla gorilla (western lowland gorilla). The record is from Rfam by way of RNAcentral. Lineage: Eukaryota; Metazoa; Chordata; Mammalia; Primates; Hominidae.